UGGAAGGCGUGCAGUGGCAGCCAGCUGACGGCGAAGACGGCCACCACCAUCACCAGCAUCUUGGUGGUCUUGCGACGGCGGCGGUGGGUGCGCGACAGGCGGCUGGCGUUCAUCUGGCUCCAGGUUGCGAUGAUGAAGACGAGGAGGCUGAAAGAGGAUGCGAGCUUCGUCUCCACUCAGAAGCCGUGUGAAAAUGUGGCGAUUUCCCCGCUGCAUGUCUCAGCCCACCCCCCCCGACCACCACCGCCGCUGCCAGCGCACAGGAUGCUGCACGUUGCAGGCCUGUCUAGGCUGCCAUCCAGAUGGUGAAAGACAGCAGCAGUGUGGCCAAAAUGGUGAUGGGGGUGGCACAGCCGAGGUAAAGCAG
This is a long non-coding RNA of Hippocampus comes (tiger tail seahorse), 367 nucleotides long. RefSeq lists it as uncharacterized. The record is from RefSeq and is a predicted model, not a curated record. The transcript is spliced from 3 exons. Lineage: Eukaryota; Metazoa; Chordata; Actinopteri; Syngnathiformes; Syngnathidae.